RNAcentral lists this unclassified non-coding RNA (1298 nucleotides) under Hevea brasiliensis (rubber tree). Lineage: Eukaryota; Viridiplantae; Streptophyta; Magnoliopsida; Malpighiales; Euphorbiaceae. The record is from RNAcentral.
GUUGAAAGAACCAUAUAUUCUGAAUUGCUAUUGACUUCUUCCAAUAAAAAUAAAAUAAAUAUGCUUGAAUAUGUUCACAGCAUCAGGUGGGUUUUAGAAACAAGAAUUAAGAUGUCUGAUCAUGAAUAUAUCAACAAAGUUCACAAUGAUACGAAUUAAAAUACUCCCAUAACUUGACUAAUGAGCUUUAACUCUGUGUUACUAAAGUCAUCUCCAGGACUAUGAGGUCUUGAGUUCAAGCUCCAGUCAGAGCCAAUUAUACCCUCCAAAAAAAAAAAACUCUCCCAUAACAUCAGUUGCCUUGCUGUUUCUCAAUAAUUCAAUAUUUCACGCAGCUCAGAUUUAAGAUUUUGGGCCAGUCAUCAUUUUCUGAAUUCUGUGUAGGCAUGGAAAUAAACAUGUUAUUAAAAUCCAAGCCGGAAACUAGAGAAUUGAAGUUAAUUAGCAAAUCUGGCAAAAACCAAAGUAAAUUUAUGAGUGCAAAGAACUAAAACCCUAAGAUGAAAGAAGAAAAGGUGCAAAAAUAAAAGUAAAUUUUAGGAAAAUAAAAACAUGAAAUAGGGGGAAAAAAAGGCAUUUGACUAGAGCAAACUAUAACAUGAAGAUAACUGUACUCCUAAAAGAAGUUAAAAUUCUGUAUUUCCUCUAUUACUUCCACCUGAAGCCCUAGUGAGGUGCAUCAAAUUAUUAUGAUAACAAAAAGAAUCUAUAUAACUGGACUAACUUUUGACUUAUAACUUAAUGGCAAACAGAGAAUUCUAGUGGACUUGAAAAUUAUAUGACAAGUCUAGCCUUUGAUAUUGGUUGAAAACAGUGAUAGAACUGACUAGAGCUUUAACAAAUCAACAUACAACAGGCCUGAAAUUGUCAAUUUCUAAAUAUAUGUCGUUCAUCUGAGUAAAUGAGUCACAAAAUGAGUAGUGCAAAUCGAUCUUAUUUGGCUGCUCAAGCACAAGAGUAAAUAGUGGCUUACGUUUAGUUUGAAAAGUAAACUUUAGCAGGCAAUCUUUGUCUGUUUCCUAUAUGCAUCUUUCAUUUUGCUUAGAACAAUAUUCAACAUUUGUUCUCUGCGGUAAAACAAGAAUCUGAAAUGAGGUUGAACGUAGUUGUGAAGUCACUCAGGAAAUUCCAUUAAAAAAAGCAGCAGAGCGUUGAAGACAUUAAUCAAAGCCUGUGAACCUGUAUUGCCUAUAAUGAACGCCUCAAUAAUUAUCAUUUACCACUAUAUGUACCCAAGGGAAAAAAUUACAUUAGGAAGGAAAAAAAGAAGUGGGUAACAUACAGCUUUUGAUGAUUUG